Molecule: unclassified non-coding RNA, 320 nt
Filed under: plant metagenome
Description: partial contains 5.8S ribosomal RNA, internal transcribed spacer 2, and large subunit ribosomal RNA
Rfam family: 5.8S ribosomal RNA (bases 1-105)
Source: RNAcentral
GAAAUGCGAUAAGUAAUGUGAAUUGCAGAAUUCAGUGAAUCAUCGAAUCUUUGAACGCACAUUGCGCCCGCCAGUAUUCUGGCGGGCAUGCCUGUUCGAGCGUCAUUACAACCCUCAGGCCCCCGGGCCUGGCGUUGGGGAUCGGCGGAAGCCCCCUGCGGGCACGACGCCGUCCCCCAAAUACAGUGGCGGUCCCGCCGCAGCUUCCAUUGCGUAGUAGCUAACACCUCGCAACUGGAGAGCGGCGCGGCCACGCCGUAAAACACCCAACUUCUGAAUGUUGACCUCGAAUCAGGUAGGAAUACCCGCUGAACUUAAGC